RNAcentral lists this long non-coding RNA (373 nucleotides) under Monodelphis domestica (gray short-tailed opossum). RNAcentral describes it as "lncRNA (ENSMODG00000048749.1)". Lineage: Eukaryota; Metazoa; Chordata; Mammalia; Didelphimorphia; Didelphidae. The record is from RNAcentral.
CCCAUUUGAAGCAUUCACAGACAUUCUGUAAAUCAUUCUGGUCUGCUAACAUGUGUUGAAGAGAUGUACUAUUGAUGUGCUAAUGAACCAGAACUGAGGUUCAUUCAGAAGAUCAAUGGAAUGUUUCUACAUAUCAUAUAAACUGAUAUGAGAAGAAAUUAUAUUGUCGAUUUAAGAUUUGGAAUAUCAAAUGUCAACUGGAUAGAGGCUGGAUUUGGAGAUGGGAAAGGCUUUAAGCAGAAAACCUACUAGAAGACUUUUGCUAUAAUCCAGGCCUGGGAGGACUAGAAGUGCUUCAACCAAUCUCUAAAGGUAUGUCCUAAAUUGCAGAUUGGCUAAGUAUUAGUUAAUCACCAGUCCCUUUCAUGCAUUU